AAAAACAUAAAACAAAACCCUGGAGAGUCGUUUUUGAAAGAAGGAACGACCCACCCCUCUGAUUUUGGAGCACCCAACAACCUUCUUCAACCUUAGAACCAAAACAAGCUGAACCCUAAACCCCCAUAGACCACCAACUGCCGCCAGCCUUAACGCCCAAGACUCGCCAAAAAACGAGCACCAGUGUCGCUGGCUACAAACUAUCCAGCCGCCAGUCAUCUUCGCCAUCUCCAGCCGUCCACCUCCAGCCGUCUCGCCGGAAUUCAACCACCUCCAUACACAAACGACCUCUAUCAGCCUCCACCCUAACCCCGAUCUCCAUCAGCGACCACACCCGCCGAACCCCACCCCAAAAAACGACUUUAGAGACGAAGAAAAAUAGCAACAAUUGCUGCUUCUUCAACUCCUCCUCCCACUAACCAGUGGCGAACUCGCCGAAAAACACACAGCCAAAUCGCUGGAAAGAAAUGGGCCAUGUUGUCGUCCAAGGUUCGUCGGUCCCGGUUCGUUUGUGCAAGGAUUCACGUUCGGAUUUUGUUUUUACUUCUGUUGCUUGCCUUAUUUGAUAUGCAAAGAAAGCAAAUUUUAGUUUGUUCGAUUUGUCGCUGUUUGCACUUGUUCGAGCUUGAAAUUUCGUCACUGACGUUUCAUUUGUCCGUGCGCUCGAUCAGAAAUUAAGUAUAAGGAAUUUGCUUGAUAAGGUUCACUCUAACCCCUUCUCAGUUGUUUCAAUGCUUGGUUACAUUUUAAUGUUGAAUAUUUUUUCCCUUGCUUGUUUGUUUUGUUUUGCUACUCAUUUGUUCUGUUUUAGAAAAUCUAGUAAUGUUCUUUUUGUUUAAUUUUGUUUUUCUUCAUUGAUUUAGUUCUUCUCCAUGUGGUGUUCAUUUGAAAAUUCCAAAUAGUGGAUGCAAGUUAAGUAAUCAGAGUCGUUAAGAGUUUAUAGUAAAUUAAUUUGGGCCUUUUAAUAGUAAUUGGGUUUGGAUUUGUAGAAAUAAAAUCAAAGUGGAUGUUUGGCUGAUACCUUAGGCUUUACACAUACAUAGUCUUUAACGAGUUUAUGUUUUGGAUUAUUGUUAUACCAUGACAAUAUGUUCAAUAGAGUCAUAGUUUAAAUUAAUAUGUUUGUUUGAUAUUUCCGUUAGAAGCAUGCUUAGGCCGGCAACACUCGGGUAGGCAAGCCUUAGGAUUUUGUUAGUUUCAAGGCGAGAGAUCGUUCCUUUAGUUAAAUUUAUCCGGGGAAUGCCCCGAGGGAUUUGUAUAUAUUUUAUUUCAGGGGUAUGCCCCGAAGUGAAUGUAACGGAGGCCGCAUCUACACCGUGGAGGAAGUAUAGUGUAGGUUAGCUUAGAAUUUUACUUUUUAUUAUUUUUAUUUUUAUUUUUCUUUUAUUAGGUGGGGACGACCUAGAUCCUCUUUUGUGUUUAUUUUUGUUUGUGUGUUUUCACCUAAAUUUGAGUAUUCUUAAAAGCCAACUUGAUCAUAUAUGCAACAGUACUAGUUUCGGGACUCGGGGAAUGCCUAACACCUUCUCCCCGAGUCAAAUGAACCCCCUUACCCGAAUCUCUGGUGCAGACUUAGUUUCGGAGUCUAAAGUGUUUUAAAAGGAAAAUCUAUUUCUUAAAAAAUGGCGACCUGGCACACCGAAACCAAUGUCAGGUGGCGACUCUGAGUUAUUUCCUUUUGAACAUAAUUUUUGUCACGUUCUAAUUGGAAAACCCUUUUCAAGCUUUACAAAUCACUUUUAUAUUUUUAAGAGGGUUAGUGAGGUUUGUAAAAAAAGAGUGUGACAUCUCUGGCGACUCUGCUGGGAACUUGCAGGUUCGAGCUAGUACUUGAUCUUGUUGGCUUUUAGGAUAUUCGGUUGAGGUGUUUGUUUUCUUUAUUUGCUUUGUUUGUCUUAUUUCCUUGUUUUGUUGGUUAUUUGUUUAUCGCCUUUCUUAAUGUGCUACUGCUUUAUAAACUGUCAUCAUUUGCAUAACCAUGGGUCUUCUUUCUGCAACAAGUCUCGGAGUACGCGUCGCGUGCACGAACUCUUUGUUGAGUCACCAUUAAUUUAGGAGGGGGGCCGUCGGGCGUAUGGAGUGGGUGGAAAAGCUUGAGCAGCCACCAUCGACCAUACGCUCCCCCGAAUUGCCUUGUUAGUGAACCCCAAACUUAGGUAAGCCUUUAGGUCAUUUUUAUUUGCAUAAUGUUAUUUAGACAUGGCAGGGCUCGGUCCCAGGUAUCGUGUCCCGUCGUAGGAGGCCUAUCCAAAUUAUGUAAAAAAUGAGCCCAUUGCCCAAUGACAUUUAAUCAUCCUAUGUGCUAAAUGUUGCAUCUACGAGGGUAGAAAGGUCAUUUGGCAGACCGAUGUUUUGGAAAGAAGGGUGAAAAAUGAAGCAAGUUAUUUUUCUUUCACAACUUUUUCAAUAAAAAACCAAAUUCUUUUUAUACUUUCCCAUUAUUUUCCCAAACAAAUCAAAAAAAAAAGAAAGAAAAGGAAAGUUCAAAAAGAUUUUGCACUUUCCCAUUAUUUUCCAAAAAAUAGAAAAAAAAAAGAAUUCCAUCAUUUUUUUUCAAAAACUAUAGUUUCUCCAAAUUAGUUGCAUUUUUUAAGCUUUCUCUCGUGUCAGAUCUUCUCGAACUACGCGAACCUGAUUCUCGUCUUUCGGGGCAGGAUACGUAGGCAACUCACAUAGGGUCCGGUCUUUCUUAGUAAGCCUUAGGUUUUUGGCUUCGCGGGGUCUUAGCCAAAUCUUGCAUAUCUAGCCACUUUUGGCCACACCGACUUUGUUGCAAAAUGGGGCUAUUUUGCGAAGUGGCUUAUUGGGCCGUGUUUGGAGAGUCUAGAAUCCACAAUUAGGUGUCUCCCUACUUCAAGGCCCGUUCCUGUUGAAUUUGCGUGUCUAGCCAUUUUUGGCCACAUCGGUCAUUCUUGCAAAAUGGGGUCAUUUUCGCAAAAGUGGUUCAAUUACCCAUGUCUUAGGAUCUUGAGGCCACAACUCGAUAUCAUAUCACUUUAAGGUCCAUCCUUGUCGUGUUUGUGUCCCUAGCCACAUUUGGCCACAUUGACCGUUUUUGCAAAAUGGGUCAUUUUUGCAAAAUAAUUUUGGGCCAUAAUUAUUGGGGGUUUGAAGCCAUAUAAGCCUUACUGAGGCAUUUUUCACGUUUUUGAGGUCAGUCUUGUUGAUUUUACCCUAAUAGCCACAUUUUGGCUACGUAGGUCAUUUUACAAAAAUAGCCUUAAUCAUGCCUUGCAUGUGUCCAAUAGAAGGUGUCGUGGCAUCACAUGUGUCUUGAGUCUAACUCUAUUUGAUCUUAUUUUCCCAUUCAGGUAUGGAUCAGUGUACCAAAGCUCGAGCAUGAUAAAUACCCCAAGACCACUGCAUUUAUGAGUUGCUUAUAAAUACUUUUAUGUUUUAGUCUAUCUUAUGUUGUCUUUUAAUUUUUAGUUUUGUACAGUAGUAUCUAGUCUGUCAAUCUAGUUAUGAUUGUCGAGUCUUUUGUUACAGUACUUCCUGUUUUGUAUUUGAAAAACCAAAAAAAUUACUAAAUGAAAAAUCCCAAAAAAUGUUUGUUUCUUAGUUUAUUUUGUCCAUUAUUUUUUUAGAACUAGGCGUGAUCUGAUUCAUGAGGGGCAUGAUACGUAGGCAACCUACAUAGGGUUCGAUCGAAUAAUCUUUUAAAAAAACAAAGAAAGGAAAAAAAAAAGAAAAAAAGAAAAAAAGAGAUGAAAUUGUGCAUGUGAGAAAUGAGAGGAAAAAAGAGAGAGCGAUAAUUAGAAAGAAAAGAGGGGGAAAGAAAUGAAAAACCAAGCGGUGUUAGAAAGGAAAAUGAAGAAGGAAAAGGGCCAGAAGAGUGAAAUUGGGAUGAAUGCUCUCGAAGCAUAAGUCAUCCCAAUUGUUGUUGCUAGGGGCAUUGCACGGAAUAUGAUAUUUCUCUUUGAUAAAUGCUCUAACGCUAACAUGUUGGCUUUGUUUUGGUCCUCUUUAUUACUUUCAUUGUUAUUAUAAUAGAGGGUGGUUAGUUUUUGGUACUUUGGUGAUUCGUCCAUACAACACCAGAAAGCAUAAGUCAGUCAUGGCUAGCAAAGAAACAGACACUGAGGUUGUACACCCACCAAGGGAGAUUGUAGAAUCAGAAUCGGAACUGAAAGAGGAGGUCUGAAGGUUGAAACAGCAGAUGGAAGAGAUGUAUCAGUCUUGGGUCCGGGGGCAUCCUCCACCUUCAUUCCUCACUAACUACACUGAAAACUCUGCAACUAUCCCACCAUUAUCACAAGCCCAGGUUCCCACUACCGUUGACCUUUCCUCUCAACAUGCACCGGGCUUUACCCCUUACCACAAUUACCCUGGCACUUCCUCCCAAAUUUUCCAUGCUCCACCAGCCAAAACAACCUCAUACCCUGCUCCGACAUCUGCUCCUAUUUUUGUAGCUCCUCUACCAGCUACUCUUCCUCGAUCCUCUAGCGAGACUGUGUUCAAAAUCCUCGAUGCUCAAGGAAAGAGACCCAAGUAAAGUUUAGGGAGUUUUGGUUCAGAUGGAACGAACAAGUUGCUCGGGUCAGUUCUUCGAUUGAUAGAAAAGAUGUUUCUGAGCCCCGCCAAAGACAUGAUCCAGUAGGCAUUCCUACUGAACGUUUUCAGCCUCAAUACCGGCCCCAUAAAUAUCCUCGUACUCCAGAUAAUCCUCACCAAUGAUACUUCCCUCCACAAAAUCCCCAAAGUCAUACCUCACAUCCCCAUUACUCUAUCCGCAAUGCACCGCCAUAUGCUCCACACUCACAAAACCCGCAACGGAUUGCACCGCCUCCAUAAAUGUCCUACCCACCUCUACAAGCAUAUCAACCCCCUACCCAAAAGAGGUUCCAACCAAGGUUGGAGUACAAAAUGAGGAGGCAGUAGCAAAGAGAAAAGUCUUUCACUCCAAUCGAAGAAUCCUACACAAGCUUGUUUGAAAGGUUAAAAUAGUCUAGCCUGAUUGAGCCGCUCAUCGACUAUACUCCGGACCCAUAUGCAAAAGGUUUUGAUUCUACUGUACGGUGCAUGUACCACUCUAAUGUCCAGGGGCAUAACAUUGAAGAUUGUCGUGCUUUGAAAAGGGAGAUAAAAAGAAUGAUUCAAGAAUGGAUAAUUGUGGUCCAAGACAGUGUCACCCAGAACAUCGCGCAGAUUCCUUUACUUGCACAUGAUAAUGCACACUUUGUGGGAGAGAUGUGUGGUGAUAAGGAGUAUGAGAAUCCUCUGGGGAACUUGCUGACUGAAGUGAAUGAUAUUGAAAUUGAUGAAGGUCCCAGUAAUUUUGAUGUACAACCCAGUGGAUAAGACGUCGAGCUUGGUAAUUGGAAAGACACUCCUUUCUUGGUAAUUGGAAAGACACCAGGGAGGAGUUUCGAUGGCUUAUUUUGUUGUUAUUUCUGUUUGUCCAGGUUAUUUCGGGGUUGUACUCCGGACAUUGUCUUGUGGAUCAAACCCUUCUGUUUCUUAUUUUACCUAGUUCGUUUAGUGAUAGUAACUCGUGUAGUGUUAUCUAGGAUUGUUCCAGGGUUGUAACCCAUGUCUAUUUUGCUUGUUUUGUUCAAACCCUUCUCAUCAUCUGUCUAAUGCAAUCUCAUGUUUUUUGUUAGUUCUAGUCAGUUUCGUUUAGGUCAUUUUUUCUUUUAUAAUUCUUUUCAUGCUAACUCUAGUAACAUGACAUGCACACAUAAUUCUCAGCCUGGUCUUGAAAGUUAGUCUAAUCAUGAAGUAAUGACGCGGUUUUUGAAUAUGAUAAAAGAGGCAUUUGAGGAAACAAGUAGAGAUUCACGCAUUCUAAGAUUACCUGAAAUUUAAAUUGAGUGAAACCGAGAUAGUAAAUCUGGGAAAUCAAGAGGUUGAUAAGAGCAUACAAUAAGGAAAUGUCUCUCAAGCAGUUUGAGAAUAACCAGUCAGUGCUGAAAUGCAUUCUUCCACAUCAAUAUAAGGUUGAGUCAAGUCUGAUUCGAAUUGGUAAGGAUCAUUCAUUGGACCAAAGGUAUUGCUUGUCGGCACUUUUAGUUUGUGAUGAUGCCAUCAAUAGAUAUUGUACAUGAUUUCUUUGCUUAUCUUCAAUUGCAUGUUUGUACUUGGCAUUUUAAAGUUUAGUAUGACGAAGGCAUUUUAUUCUGCUACCCCAAACAUUUUUAUCUUUUACUACCCCUUUUGAGCCUUAAUUUUCAACUUUACUACCCCUCUUUUGGAAUCAGAAGUAGAGUUGGGAACUAGAAAAGAAAAAGAAAAGAUAAAAAGAAGAAAAAGAAGAGAAAAAGAAAAAAAGAAAAAGAAAGAAGGAAAAGAAAAAAACAUUAUUUUUUGAACUACGUUCGACCUGAUUCUUGUCACCACAAGAUACGUAGGCAGCCUUACGGGUUCGGUCGCACCAAAUAAAAUAUUUCAUGAUCUUCCGAAGUCAAGAGUGGGGCAGAUUUUCUUAGAAAUCCCAUCAAAAUAAAAGGCAAAAAGCAAAAAAAAAAAUCCCCAAACUCCAAGAAACUGGGGCAGAAGUUUUAAUUUUGCCAAAAGGCCUAAUUCCAAAAGUUAUAAAUUUGAACCAUUUCAUCUUAAAUUAUUUUGAGCCUUCAUGCCACCCUUUCUUUCUAACCCUGUCCAAAAGCCUAUAUUACGGUCCAAAGAAAGACCUUCCAACCAAUCUUUGAGGAUGUCAAAUAAAGUGUGCGGUAAAAGUCUGAUCUUCUUGUAUCAUGGGUAAUACCUUGUUCUCAUCGCAAAGAGAGAAAAUGAUAAAAUGAGAGAGUCUUUUUGGUGAAAACACUCAUGGUCACCGUAAGGCGAUAGUGAGUUGAGAAAAAGAGCAAAAUAAGAGAGACUUGAUGGUGAAAACCCUUCAGGGCACUACAAGUCGAUUAAGGAUUGUGGACCAGAUGGGACAAUUGAAGCGCUGAAGCCCAGUUUCACAGCGAAGAGGUACAACAAGAGUUGAAUAAUAGACUCGCUUGAGAGAUUAGGCCACUUAAUCCAAAGGUAUGUGUCAUGGUCAUUAGAGUUGGUAUCCACAUCUGAUAAGUUUCUACUUUGUAAUUUUCUUGUUAGGUACCAUCUCUUUUCCUUGUUCCUUAUAUUGUUCCUCUUGUUUUGUUUGAGUCCCUUCUUGAGUCUAUUUGGUCAGAACAAGUGAGAAAUGACUUCAAAAUUUGCUACCAACUUUCCAAUUGCACAAAAUGAACUUGGCUAUCACAUCAAAGUGGCAUAAGUCAGGGAAAAGUGGUAUGCACACUGAGUUGGUAACAAUCAACAUGCUUUAGGAUUCAUGUGAAAUGCAAGGGUUCGGUAAAUGUCAAUUCAUGAGCAAAAUGCAACGGAUAGAGGAUAUUGGGAUCGAAUGGAAAAUAGGUAUUUUCUGUGAUAAGGGUUGAAAUAAAAUGGGUAGUCGAUGACAGACAAAGUUUUCCAAGUUGAAAUCAAAGUUAUCUUGGCAAGUGCAGAAGCAACCGCCUUCAAGGUCAAGGCCAUAAACUAACCAUCACAUUUAAACUCACAAGUUUUCUUUGUUUGAAACAGGAACAAAGCAGUGCAAGCAAGUGGGUUCAAAAACAAGAAAAAAGAAAAAAGAAAAAAAAGAAGAGAAGAAUCGACAAAGGGAAGUUUCUCAAAUCAUUUCCCUUAUCUAUCUUGUUAGUGUGCCUAAAAUGUUGCCAUUGCUCUUCACAUUUUUCCUCCUAGGAUAAAAAGUCCUAGUCUGGUGGAUUUUCCUCCCAAUCAAAUCUUAGUCUGAUAAAUUUUUCUCCUAAGAUAGAAAACCUAGUUUGAUGAAUUUUCUCCUAGGAUAGAAAUCUUAGUCUGAUGAAUUUGUCUCCUAAGAUAACAAAAAGACCUAGUCUGAUGAAUUUUCUCCUAGGAUAAAAAUCUUAGUCUGAUGAAUCUUUCUCCUAAGAUAACAAAAAAACCUAGUCUGAUGAACUUUCUCCUAGGAUCAAAAUCUUAGUCUGAUGAAUCUUUCUUCUAAGAUAACAAAAAGAUCUAGUCUGAUGAAUUUUCUCCUAGGAUCAAAAUCUUAGUCUGAUGAAUCUUUCUCCUAAGAUAAGAAGGACCCAGUCUGAUGAAUUUUCUCCUAAGAUCAAAAUCUUAGUCUGAUAAAUUUUUUCAUAGGAUAAAAUCUUAGUGUGAUGAAUCUUUCUCCUAAGAUAAAAAGACCUAGUCUGAUGAACUUUCUCCUAGGAUCAAAAUCUUAGUCUGAUGAAUCUUUCUCCUAAUAUAACAAAAAGGGACCUAGUCUGAUGAAUUUUCUCCUAGGAUCAAAAUCUAAGUAUGAUAGAUCUUUCACCUAAGAUAAAAAGACCUAGUUUGAUGAACUUUCUCCUAGGAUCAAAAUCUUAGUAUGAUGAAUCUUUCUCCUAAGAUAACAAAAGGGAUCUAGUCUGAUGAAUUUUCUCCUAUGAUCAAAAUCUUAGUCUGAUGAAUCUUUCUCCUAAGAUAAGAGACCCAGUCUCUUGAAUUUUCUCCUAGGAUCAAAAUCUUAGUCUGAUGAAUCUUUCUACUAAAAUAACAAAAGGGACCUAGUCUGAUGAAUUUUCUCCUAGGAUCAAAAUCUUAGUAUGAUGAAUCUUUCUCCUAAGAUAAAAAGACCUAGUCUGAUGAACUUUCUCCUAGGAUCAAAAUCUUAGUCUGAUGAAUCUUUCUCCUAAGAUAAAAAGAAAAUCUUUCUCCUAAGAUAAAAAGAAAACCUAGUCUGAUGAAUUUUCUCAUAGGAUCAAAAUCUUAGUCUGAUGAAUCUUUCUCCUAAGAUAACAAAAAAAAGGACCUAGUCUGAUGAAUUUUCUCCUAGGAUCGAAAUCUUAGUCUGAUGAAUCUUUCUCAUAAUAUAAUAAAAAAACCUAGUCUGAUGAAUUUUCUCCUAGGGUCGAAAUCUUAGUCUGAUAAAUUUUUCUCCUAAGAUAGAAUACCUAGUCUGAUGAAUUUUCUUCUAGGAUAGAAUCUUAGUCUGAUGAAUUUUUCUCCUAACAUAGAAAACCUAGUAUGAUGAAUUUUUCUCCUAAGAUAACAACAACAACAACAACAACAAAACAACAACAACAAUAACAAAAGAGAAAAAAAGAGAAAAAAGGGACUUAGUCUGAUGAAUUUUCUCCUAGGAUCAAAAUCUAAGUCUGAUGAAUCUUUCUCCUAAGUUAGAAGACCUAGUCUGAUGAAUUUGCUAGUCAAAUAUUCUUGGUUUUAUUCACAGGAGACGCACAUCCUAGUCAAGUCUUUAGUUUUAUUCUCAUAAUUGCAUCAAUAGCAUAGGUGAUUUACAGUUUUGCUAACAACUCACCAAUCUUCCUUGGGCAAACUGGGGCAGAAAAUUUUGCUUGAUUUGUUGUUUUGAUUGCAGGAACCCACCUGGAGAAUGAGGGAAUUCGUUUCGAAAUUAUUUCAAGAUUCAAGUCAGUAGCAGGCACCCACCUGGAGAACGAGGGAAGUCAUUUAAGAAUUCAAUUCAAGUUAGAAGUAGCAGAAGCUCGUGGCAAGAAUACGAGUCAACAAUCCGAGAUGACCAGCAUAAGUAGUCUCAAUCCAAAAAAAAGAAGAAAAAGAAAGAAGAAGAAGUGAAUCCAAAAUGCAGAAGCAGAAAGAAAAAAAGAAGAAGUGUGAAUUGCUCAAGACAUGGUUGAAGUCAUGAGCGCUACAUGUCCGGUCUUGAUCCGAAAAGCUAAAGAAGAAUGAACUAGAACCUGCAGCUAGCAAACGUCAAGGUUCAAAUCUAAAGUCUGCAUGAAGAACCAUUUAAGACUCAAGAUCAAGCUUCAGAAGACUUAUAGAUAGGAAUUUUGUAACUUAUAGCUAACAUGCUUAGUUAGUCUUUUUUAUUAUUUUUUAAUUUUGAUGUAAUAACAGGACCGCGGACUAGAACCUCGACGGAAUGGUACCUCGACCGGCUCUCCACCUUAGUAUACUACAUCACCUCAUUCACUUCUGAAUACACGUGACCUGAUUUCUUUAUAGCCAAGGAUAUGUAGGCAGCUCAGAUACCAGGGCUCGGUCACAUUCUUCUUCCUCUUAGUUUUUGGUCUCGCUAAAUAAGGGUCGGGUCAAAAAACCUGUCUAGUCGUUCUUUGUCUGAAAAUACUUCAUAUUUCCAGUCAAAAAGGGGCAGCUGUAGACAUGUAAUUUUUGACCCUCCCCGAGAUUUCACCCAUUUUAGCGUAAAAUAUUUAGUUUAGGCCUAAUAUCGAUAUUUCAAGUAGUCUCGACUCUUUUACUUUAUUUUAUCAAAAAAAUGAAAAUUACAAAAAAAAAAAAAUUCUUCUUUUAGUUGCUUUUAGUUUAUUAUUUUUCGUAAAACUAAAAAAAUACAAAAAUAGUUCCAUAUUUCUCUAUUUAAUUCACGUAUUAGAUAUUUUUAGAAGGAUAUAUUACUUUGAACCUAUUUCUAUUUUAUUUUAAUAUAAUCUUUGAAAAUGCCAAAAAUAGUUUCAACUUUAAUUUGUAGUUUUAAUUUAAAUAUAAUAGUUUAUUAAAAUCAAUUGAGAUUUAUUUUAUACCUUGUUAUAGUAUUUUUAAAAAACAAAUUAAUUUUUCAGCAUUUUUCUAGCCCAAUUUAACCCUAGCCCAUGUUUUAUGUGACCCUAGUACAUAAAAGACUACACCCUUUUUCAUAUUCUUCGGGAACCUUAGACAAAAACAUACAACAAAACCCUAGAGAGCUGUUUUUGAAAGAAGGAACGACCCACCCCUAUGAUUUUGGAGCACCCAGCAGCCUUCUUCAACCUUAGAACCAAAGCAAGCUGAACCCUAAACCCUAAGAGACCACCAGCCGCCGCCAGCCUUAACGCCCAAGACUCGUCGGAAAAUGAGCACCAGUGCCGCUGGCUACAAAUCAUCCAGCCGCCAGUCAUCUUUUCCAUCUCCAGCUGUCCACCACCGGCCAUCUCGCCGGAAUUCAACCACCUCCAUACACAAACGACCUCCAUCAGCCUCCACCCUAACCCCAAUCUCCAUCAGCGACCACACCCCGCCGAACCCCACCCCAAAAAAUGACCUUAGAGACGAAGAAAAAUAGCAGCAAUUGCUGCUUCUUCAACUCCUCCUCUUACUAACCAGUGGCGAACUCGCCGGAAAAUGCACAGCCAAAUCGCCGGAAAGAAAUGGGUCACGUUGUCAUCCAAGGUUCGUCGGUCCCGGUUCGUUUGUGCAAGGAUUCACGUUCGGGUUUUGUUUUUACUUCUGUUGCUUGCCUUAUUUGAUAUGCAAAGAAAGCAAAUUUCAGUUUGUUCAAUUUGUCGUUGUUUGCGCUUGUUCGAGCUUGAAAUUUCGUCACUGACGUUUUAUUUGUCCGUGCGCUCGAUCAGAAAUUAAGUAUAAGGAAUUUGCUUGCUAAGGUUCACUCUAACCCCUUCUCAGUUGUUUCAAUGCUUGGUUACAUUUUAAUGUUGAAUAUUUUUUGCCCUGCUUGUUUGUUUUAUUUUGCUACUCAUUUGUUCUGUUUUAGAAAAUUUAAUAAUGUUCUCUUUGUUUAAUUUUGUUUCUCUUCGUUGAUUUUGUUCUUCUGUGGUGUUCAUUUGAAAAUUCCAAAUAGUGGAUGCAGGUUAAGUAAUCAGGGUCGUUAAGAGUUUAUAGUGAAUUAAUUUGGGCCUUUUAAUAGUAAUUGGGUUUGGAUUUGUAGAAAUGAAAUCAAAGUGGAUGUUUGGCUGACACCUUAGGCUUUACAUGGAUAUAAUCUUUAACGAGUUUACGUUUUGGAUUAUUGUUAUACCAUGCCAAUUUGUUCAAUAGAGUCAUAGUUUAAAUUAAUAUGUUUGUUUGAUAUUUUCGUUAGAAGCAUGCUUAGGCUGACAAUACUCGGGUAGGCAAGCAUUACGAUUUUGUUAGUUUCAAGGCGAGAGGUCGUUCCCUUAGUUAAAUUUAUCUGGGGAAUGCCCCGAGGGAUUUGUAUAUAUUUUAUUUCAGGAGUAUGCCCCGAAGUGAAUGUAACGAAGGCCGCAUCUACACCGUGGAGGAAGUAUAGUGUAGGUUAGCUUAGGAUUUUAUUUUUUAUUAUUUUUAUUUUUAUUUUUCUUAUAUUAGGUGGGGACGACCUCGAUCCUCUUUUGUAUUUAUUUUUGUUUGUGUGUUUUCACCUCAAUUUGAGUAUUCUUAAAAGCCAACUUGAUCAUAUACGCAACCGUACUAGUUACGAGACUCGGGGAAUGCCUAAUACAUUCUUCCCAAGUCAAAUGAACCUCCUUACCCGAAUCUCUGGUGCAGACUUAGUUUCGGAGUUCAAAGUGUUUUAAAAGGAAAAUUUAUUUCUUAAAAAAUGGUGACCUGGCACACCGAAACCAAUGUCAGGUGGCGACUCUGAGUUAUUUCCUUUUGAACACAAUUUUUAUCACGUUCUAAUUGGAAAACCCUUUUCAAGCUUUACAAAUCACUUUUAUAUUUUUAAGAGGGUUAGUGAGGUUUGUAAAAAAAGGGUGUGACAGAGGAGAAUGAAGAAGGAUAUCGUUACAUAUGUGGCUCGGUGUUUGAAUUGUCAAUAGGUUAAGUAUGAGCAUCAGAGGCCGGGUGGUUUGUUUCAGAGGAUUGAGCUUCCCGAGUGGAAGUGGGAGCGGUUCAUUAUGGAUUUCAUUGUUGGACUCCCACAAACUCGGAGGAAAUUCGACGCAGUGUGGGUCAUUGUUGAUAGGCUGACCAUGUCAGCGGAUUUUAUUCUCGUGACAGUCUCUUAUUCUUCCAAGAGGUUAACUGAGAUCUAUAUCCAGGAGAUUGUUCGCCUUCAUGGUGUGCCCGAGUCUAUCAUUUUGGACUGUGGUACGCAGUUUACCUCACGGUUUUGGAGGGCCGUUCAGCGAGAGUUGGGCACACAAAUUGAGUUGAGCACAAUGUUUCAUCCUCAGACGGACGGGCAGUCCGAGCUGACUAUUCAGAUUUUAGAGGAUAUGCUCUGAGCUUGUGUCAUUGACUUUGGAGGCUCGUGAGAUCAGUUUUUGCCUUUAGCAGAGUUUGCCUACAACAACAUCUACCAGUCGAGUAUUCAGAUGGCUCCUUAUAAGACUUUAUAUCGUAGGUAGUGUCGGUCUCCGGUUGGAUGGUUUGAGCCGGGAGAGGCUCAGUUGUUGGGUAUGGAUCUGGUUCAGGAUGCCUUGGACAAGGUCAGGAUUAUUCCGGAUAGGCUUCGUACAGCUCAGUCCAGGCAAAAGAGCUAUGCCGACCGCAAGGUUUGAAAUUUGACUUUCAUGGACGGUGAGCAUGUAUUGCUUCGAGUGUCGCCUAUGGAGGGCGUGAUGAGAUUUGGGAAGAAGGGCAAGCUUAGCCCUAGGUUCAUUGGCCCUUUUGAGAUUCUUGAUCGAGUGGGAUAGGUGGCUUACAGACUUGCAUUGCCGCCGAGCUUAUCAGCCGUGCAUCCAGUGUUUCAUGUGUCCAUGCUUUGGAAAUAUCACAGCGAUCUAUCCCACGUGUUAGAUUUCAGCACUGUCCAGUUGGACAAGGACUUGUCUUAUGAGAAAGAGCCAAUAGCUAUUCUAGAUCGGCAGGUUCGUCAGUUGAGAUCGAAGAGUUUUUCUUCUACUCAUGUUUAGUGGAGAGACCAGCCUGCUGAGGCAUCGACCUGGGAGUCCGAGUCCGAUAUGCGGAGCCGUUAUCCCCAUCUUUUCCCCGACUUAGGUACUUCCUUCUUAUGUCUGUUCGAGGACGAACGGUUGUUUUAGAGGUGGAGAAUGUGUCGACCCAAAAGGUCAUCACUUAUUUUUAAAAUGAAUUCUUCAUUCUAAGGCCUUAAAAACCUCUUUCAGCAUCACCUCAAUUUGCGUGUGCAGUCCGUACGCGCGUAGUCGGAAAGCUAAUAUGUGAAAAUUUGUGAAAAAUAUUGAGAUUUUGACUUAAAAUGCAUUUAAGUUGACUUCGGUCAACAUUUUGGGUAAACGGACCCGGAGCCAUGAUUUGACGGUCCCGAAGGGUCCGUAAAAAAAUAUGGCACUUUGGCGUAUUUCCGGAAUCGAAUUCCGAGGUCCCAAGCCCGAGAAAUAAUUUUUUUAAAAAAUUAUUUUCUGGAAAAUUCUAUGAGUUUUGGAAAUGAAAUGCAUUUAGAAUUUGUUGGUAUUGGGCCCGUAUUCUAGUUCCGGAGCCCGGUAUAGGUCUUAUAUGUGAAAUAAGAUAAGUCUGUGAAAUUUGGUAAGAAACGGAAGUCGUUUGAGGUGAUUCGAACCCGUAGUUGUGAAAAUUUAUGUUUUGAAAGUUUUGAGAUUUUUUUAGAUUUUCAUACUAAAUUCGUUGUUUAAGAGGUUAUUUUGGCGAUUUGAUCGCACGGAUAAGUUCAUAUGAUGUUUUUGAGUUAGUAUGCAUUAUUGGUUUGGAGCCCUGAGGGCUCGAGUGAGUUUCAGAUAGGUUUCGAGAAGUUUUUGAACUCAUAAAAGUUGCAGGUUUUUCAGUUUCUAGUGUCUGGUGUUGACUAUUAUGCGAUCGCAUAGGGCCUUUCGCGAUCGCAUAGCUCAGUGUUAAGGGAGGAAAUCUGUAACACUAUGUGAUCACUUAGCAUGUUUCGCGAUCGCAUAGAGUGGUAGGUAGGCUGGGGGACUGGGGUAGCUUGUUCUGUGCGAUCACAUUUCCUCAUUCGCGAUCGCGUAGCAUAGGAAGCAGUCCACUAUGUGAUCACAUUCCUUUCUUCGCGAUCGCAUAGACCAAAAUCCGCACAGUUAUUUUUAAGUUCAAAAACAGAAUGUAUUAAGGGAAUUUCACCAUUUUUCACAAACUUCUUCUUCUCCACACCUUUUGGGCGAUUUUUGAAGAGAAACUUCACCAUAGCUUCAUAGGUAUGUAAUCCUAAGCUCGUUUUCUUCCAUUUUUAUCAACACCCAUUAGAUUUCUAGGCCUAAAACAUGAGAUUAAGGGUAGAAAGUUAGGGAUUUGUGUAGAGUUAGGGCUUUAUGAUUAUUUGGGAACUUGACCUCGUUUUGGGGUCAGAUUUCAAAACAAAUUAUAUAUUCGGGCUCGUGGGUGAAUGGGUGAUCAGGUUUUGGUCCGAACCUCGUAUUUUGACCAAGCGAGCCCGUGGUCGAUUUUUGGAUUUUUGGGAAGAAUGUUGGGAAAUCUAUAAUUAAGCAUUGGAAUUGAAUUGUUUAGCAUUUAUUGAUGUUAUUGAGUCAAAUAUGUCUAGAUACGAUUGAUUUGGAGUCGGGUUCGAAAGGAAAAGUGGUGCUUGAGGCCUGAUUUGGAUCAUUGUAGUCGAGGUAAGUGUUUGGUCUAACCUUAGCUUGAGGGAUUAGGAGUUGUGUCCUAUUUGCUACUUGUUUCUUGUUGAGUACGACGUAUAGGCAUGGUGACGAGUAUCUAUAUGUUAGUGUCGAGCAUGACCAUGGGCCUUAAAUUGAAUUAUGUUGUGUUAUUAAAUAAUACUACGGAUGCUUAAGUUGAUGAUUCUCUGUACUGAGCAAGGAUUAUGAUUAUUCUCGUGGAAAUUAGUUAUGACUGAGUAUUGGUGUUAGCUGAGAUAGUUAGAUGUUGGAACAAGUUUGGUUAUAGCUGUUUCUCCCUUGCCGGGAUGUAGUUUACUUAUACUGUCGAUUCCCUUGCCGGGAUAGUGUAGUUCUUGAUUGCUCCCUUGUCGGGACCCUUGUUAUGAUUGUUGUUGAUAUUAUAUGUGGAUCGGGUUGCAUGCCACAACAAUAAUAUAAUUGGAUCGGGUUGCACGCCGCAACAAUGAUAUAAUUGGAUCGAGUUGCACACCGCAAUAGUGAUAAAUGAUAUGGAUCGGGUUGCACACCGCAACAGUGUUGUUAUGUGAUAGGAUCGGGUUGCGCGCCGCAACAAUUGAUGAAAUAAAGUGUUUAUAAAUUGGUUACAAGUUCCUUAUUGCUUUGUUGUAGAUUCUAAGUUAUCCUUAUGCCUUUUCUUGAUUUACUGUUGAUAUUGACAUACCCCCGCAGCAUGUACCCCCUCUCAUCUUUACUUGCUGUUCCUGUUUUAUUUUCCGUUACAUAUUAUAUAACUGCAUAGGUUUAUUUGGUAGUAUGGUCCUAGCCUCGUCACUACUUCGCCGAGGUUAGGCUAGACACUUACCAGCACAUGAGAUUGGUUGUGCUGAUGCUACAUUCUGCACUAUGUGUAGAUCCCAGAGUAGCAUUUGGGCGGCUGUCUUCAGUCCAGCUAGAGAUCCCGAGGUAGUCCUGCAGGCGUUCGCAGGCCCGGCGUUCUCUUCUAUCUUAUUAUGUAUUUUGUUUUCAGUUGUUUCCGAGACAGAUUGUACUUUCCUUUCAGACAUUUGUUGUAGUAUUCAUAGACAAUCUGUGAUAUUGUGACGCCGGAUUCUGGGUAGAGACGUAUGUUGGCAUUGUCGUACUGGCUUUAGUUAUUUUAUUAGAUUAAGUCUUCCGC
This 16278-nucleotide long non-coding RNA is filed under the name Nicotiana tabacum (common tobacco). RNAcentral's name for it is "long non-coding RNA (NTAB_LNC001879)". Lineage: Eukaryota; Viridiplantae; Streptophyta; Magnoliopsida; Solanales; Solanaceae. The record is from RNAcentral.